This 130-nucleotide ribosomal RNA is filed under the name Krameria spartioides. RNAcentral describes it as "partial 5.8S ribosomal RNA". It matches the Rfam family "5.8S ribosomal RNA", at positions 30 to 154 of the family's 154-position model. From Rfam's summary of the family: 5.8S ribosomal RNA (5.8S rRNA) is a component of the large subunit of the eukaryotic ribosome. It is transcribed by RNA polymerase I as part of the 45S precursor that also contains 18S and 28S rRNA. Lineage: Eukaryota; Viridiplantae; Streptophyta; Magnoliopsida; Zygophyllales; Krameriaceae. The record is from RNAcentral.
GCAUCGAUGAAGAACGCAGCGAAAUGCGAUACUUGGUGUGAAUUACAGAAUCCUAUGAACCAUCGAGUCUUUGAACGCAAGUUGUGCCUAAAGCCAUUAGGUUGAGGGCACGUCUGCCUGGGUGUCACAC